This 520-nucleotide ribosomal RNA is filed under the name uncultured bacterium. Its description in RNAcentral is "bacterial SSU rRNA". It matches the Rfam family "Bacterial small subunit ribosomal RNA", at positions 19 to 518 of the family's 1533-position model. The record is from RNAcentral.
AUGGCUCAGAACGAACGCUGGUAGCGUGGAUUAGGCAUGCAAGUCGAACGGGAUCCGGGAGGUAGCAAUACUUCCUGGUGAGAGUGGCGGAUUGGGGAGGAACACGUGAGCAACCUGCCUUGGAGUCGGGGAAAACCGUUGGAAACGACGGCUAAUACCGGAUGUGGCGCCUGGCGACAUCGCCGGAGCGCUAAAGGGGGCCGCAAGGCUCUCGCUCCUAGAGGGGCUCGCGCACCAUCAGCUUGUUGGCGGGGUAACGGCCCACCAAGGCCUACGGUUAGCUGGUCUGAGAGGAUGACCAGCCCCACUGGGACUGAGAUACUGCCCAGACUCCUACGGGAGGCUGCAGUCGAGGAUCAUUUGCAAUGGGCGAAAGCCUGACAAUGCGACGCUGCGUGGAGGAUGAAGGCCUUCGGGUUGUAAACUCCUGUCAUGGGGGAACAGGCGAGGGGAGUUAAUACCUCCCUUAGUUGAGUGUACCCCAAGAGGAAUUGGCGGCUAACUCUGUGCCAGCCGCCGC